AUGUAAUUAGCAUCUCAUUAGUUGUCCGCUCGGGCUCGGAAGGCAGCCACUGCCGCCAGUCUGAGGCAGGUGCCCGACAUGGCGAGUGCUGUGCUGCCGAGCGGAUCCCAGUGUGCGGCGGCAGCGGCUGUGGCGGCGGCGGCGGCGCCUCCAGGGCUUCGGCUCCGGCUCCUGCUGUUGCUCCUCUCCGCAGCGGCUCUGAUCCCCACAGGUAGGUGUUGGUACCGGCCAGUUGGCCCCGAAACCUCCCCAGGCACCCCAGUAGCCGUAGCCAUGGAGGGGGGGAAACGUUUCCAUGACAACCUCCCCCCACUUCCUAAAUCCGAAGCGGAGGGAGUGUGGAGAGAAAACUCCACGGCUGAGAUGGAAGGGGCUGAGGGAAUCGCUGCUCCCCUUCCCUGCCCGGCUGGUUAUGAAUGAGAGCCCUCAGGGAUGGCUGCACCCACACCUUUUCUCCCUGGCUUGGCGCGAGGUGCGGAGUGGAGUGAGACUGGGGGGCCGGGGGCUAGAGAGUAUGGGGGAAGGGGAGGGAUCGAAGGCACCCCCAAACCUUCCGGACCCUCUUAAACUCGCUGAUGUCCCCGCAACUUGCAGGUCCUCUGGUCUCCCAGGGCUGCCGGUUUGCCCCCACCUCUCCAUUGAGCAACUGCCCCCCCGCGCCCGACUUCUCCAUCCCCCAAGCCUCCCUAUGGCUGACUACCCGCCGCCUCCGGCGUGAUUCCUUGCGGGUUCCCAGGACACUUGUCUGUUCUCCUCCGCUCCCCGCGCUCUGCCUCUCUCCGGUCCCCGAACUGCACGUCUCUAGUGUUUCCCUCCGGCCCACCACAGCCCCUCCGCCCCCUCGGCUAGGCUGCGGGUCUUCCUGGCCCGGAUCCAGGCAGGGAAAGUUCCCCCGGCCCGGCCCCACGGGGGGGGGGCGGUCGCUGUCGCCGCCUCUGCGGGAAGGCGCGGGGAGCCCGCAUCCCGCCCGCCCCACGGCGUCCUCUGCCACGAGUGGGGACACCGGAUUUCCCGGCAGCUCGUCCUUUCGGCGGCCGGAGGGUGGUGGAGGGCGCGUUCGCGGCCUCUGCGUCCAGGCGGGCUCCCUGUGGGCCUCCGGGCACCCCCCUCGUGGAGAGCAAUCUUGGGAAUUUGCCCAGGGGCGGCUCUGCACGCCUGGCGCCUUCCCUGAAGACACCGUGCGCUCGGCAGGAGCUCCAUGUGUGGCUGCCCGUGUGCCGGGCGCGUUGGCGCGGUCGGGAAAGAAGAGGGCAGUGUUUGCAUUUGCUAACAAAAGGGAACCGGAGCUCUUCCCCAGCGGAGAGGCUGGUCGUGCUGCACCCUUGCUUCCCUUCCCGCCGCCUCUUCGCGCUCGGCAGCGGCGCGGCGUCCCCGCGCCCCUGGCCGCCUGCUGUGGGCUCCCUGCGGGCGCCGGGACAGAGUGGCUCCCGGCUACGGGGGACGGGCGGCGGUGCAUGAGGGGAUGCAGUAUGGCUAUGCGCCUGCAAAGCCCCUACUUGAAGCUCGAGAGCUGCAGGACCCUGAGCAACAAGUGGCGGAGGACGCCGAGAGCUCAACCCCCACCUGCGGAGCCCCUGGCCCGGGCGGGCACAGCGCCUUUUUGCUUGGGCUGUGCCUUUUGUUUACACGCUAGAGGACACACAGUUAUGUAAACACCGCAGGAGACACGCUGUAGGAAAUGGGGAUAUCUGGGGGUGCUGGGCUUUUUAUUUGGGGGAUGGCCGGUUGGUGCUUUUCCCCAAAACAGGCUUACAGAGGAUCUCUGCUUGGAGAGUAUAUCGGGCCGUAGGAGUGAGAGUCUGGCAGCGGCUUCAUUCCCAGCGUUGGGGGAUUUUUUCUUCCCUGCCAGCGUCUGUCUUCGGAUGUUGUUUAUAUGUUUUCCUCUGUGAAUUCUUAAUUUAUGAGUUUCAAGAUAAUUGGGUUCAGCCGAUGCCGGGUAUGGUUACAACUCCAUUUCAGGUGAUGCCACUGACUGGAGGGGUUCGAUAAAAUGUUCCUGAAAAAGAUCCCUCGUGCUGCUGCAUUGUAAAAAGCGCCAGUGUCAGUUAAACGUGAGCGUGAGUAAAGGCUAGGUAACUGGCGCAUAAUAGAGGCAACAAUAGACUUGUAUUAGCUGCAAAAAAAGGGGGGAAAGCGCUGGUCGGGGAUAUUGCCUGAAAAUGGGAGCCAUGCAAUGCCUCUUGGCAGCAGAACUGGAUUAGAUUAGGCUUCCCAUGUCAAACCUGCUCAUUGAAGGCACCGGGUAGUAACAACAGUACUAUAUUUGUAACUAUCUCGCGGUGAGAAGUUGCCUUCCCGGCGAGGGAUAUGUGCUGACUUAGAAACGAGCGGUCUGAUACUCAACUGUGCGUGUCAAAGCUACAUGAAAAUUCUGUUGCCAGUUACCAUGGAAGCAGCUUCUUGCUCUUGUGUACAUCCCUGUUUGUACUCUGUUUAUCAGAUUGUGUUCAAAUUAGAAAGUAAUUGGGUUUGAUUUGUAGUGAGGGGACUUUCUUUAAUUUUUUAUGCGGUUUUUUUUUUUUUUUUUGGCUCUAGGUUUGAGAGGGGGGUAUGGGCCCAACCCUAAAUCCCAUAUUCUGGUGGUAAAUUUCAGGUGGAUGCCUAGGGGACUUUUCUUCCUCAGACUUGUUAAUGUGAUCUGAGAAGCUCCUGAUUCCCACUCCCAGCAUUAAAGAAACCUGUUGGUGCUGUCUUUGAACUUCAUUAGGCUUGUUUCAUUUACAUCCUUGCUAGGAAAGAGAACUCCAGCCAUUAAGCACUGAGUCCUGAUUCUUUUUCCCCUGUGAGUGAAGCCAUCUAUCCUUCUAGAGAAAAUCUCCCAUCCCUCCUGGUCGUGUUUGGAUGAAAUGGAUGUUCAUGAAAUGCAGCCAAAAUGGUAUUGCCUAAGCAGUGUUAAUUAUGCCUAUUACAUUAAAGUGCAUGCAUGAUGUUUUGGAUCCUGAAUGAACCAGUGGUAGAUCACCCUCUCUUACCUUUUUUGGGGAUUAGAGAAGAUGGCUGAUGGGUGGGAGAUUUGUGGUGGUGACUGGAAGUCAGGGGCUGAGUUUUGCUUGCCGCAGCCUGUUGGGGCUUGCAUCCCAGGGACAGGGACUUUGCAAAAGUGCCGCCCUGCUAUUGUUGCCUUUCCCUACAUCAAAUUGAAUAGCCACAGGAGGGACUUGCACUUGCCUGUGAUAGCUUUGAUAAAAUAUCCCUCAUUAAUGCCACUUUAUAUUUACAGUGUGUCACUGGAGACGCACAAGGCUUCAUUUAGUGACUUGUGUGACGAGACAAGCUUGCAUUAUUUGCCUGGGACAUUUUGGAGGAACAAGAGACCCAUUGAGCAAUCUUUUGAAAUGAACAAAUACGAAAAAGGGGGGAAUAAAAGAGCAGGCAGUUCUCUGGAACAAAGAGCUUUAUUCAUAUGGAUGUUGUACAUGCUUUAUCCAGUUUUCCCCAGUGGCCCUCCUGGUAAAGGGGAGUGGGACAGGGAAGAUGCCAAUAAGCAGGACACUUUCGCUUCCUCUCUGGCUUCCUGACUUCAGGAAUAUUCUUAUUGGAGUUGGUGCCUGACUCAUUGCCUGCUUCGCUUUCCACUCCCUCAAAAAUUCCAGAAGGUAACCGGUUUCUGGGUCCCCCCCCCCACAAAAUUUCAUCAGACGAAAGUGCUAGCUACCUGUUGAGAUUGAUGAUCAUUGGAAGAUAUAUUGGUUGAAGGGAAAGAGCUGUCACUUUUCUAUGACAUGUGUCAAGAGGUGGUUGAUAGUGAAUGUCAGAUUGGUAAGAUGUCUUGCAAUUAUAACAUUAGCUGUACUAUAUUUAUUUUUGAAGAAAUGCUGUAAAAGCUAAAAUCCAGAAUUUUUAUUAUCAUUAAUGAUGUUUUGGAGUUUUUGUGACUUUUCCCCAUACCUGGUACAUUUUAACCUCAUAUGUAAAUGACUUUUUAUUACUACUUACCCUACUUUGCUAAAUGACUUUUUAGGUUUUGAAAAUUGAUAAUAUUACUAUGAAUAUACACGGUCUCAUUCUCGUUGGGUUUUUGUAUGUUACAUUUUAACGCCUUAUUUUUCAUUUAGAAUUUACAUUUAAAAAUUGUGUGUGCGUUUGCUGUUAACAGAAGUCCUGUUUUCAUUUGGGGGAAUUUCUUAAAUGAGGCCAAACUAAUUGAUACUGUGAUUUGAAUGGAAAGUGAUCAGCAUAAGAAAAAAUUUGUAAGAAAUAAAUUCAAAGGAUUAAAAUGCUGUCUAUCUUUCUUGGGAAGAAUAGUACUGACCAUAAUGCUGGGCAUUUUUAACAGAAAAUCCAGCACAGAAAGGAGAAAUCACACAGCGACAUCUGUUGCAGAAUUGAAAAUUUGCUGCUUUGAGUUGGAAGCAAUUAGUCCUUGUAUAAGCACCUAAUGGUAUCAGUGUAUGUGUGUUCUGAUACAAAUAUGUAUAUGCACAUACUUAUAUAUGCAUAUAGACACAAUAUACAAAACUCACCCACAUACAAUAUUCAUGUUCACAUUAAAAAUUAUUGAAUAGAAAAUAUAACCUUUUCUAUUGCAUACGUCCUUUUCAAAAAUAUUAGAGAUUCUUGUAAUUCUGGAGUUUUUGAAAGGGAAAGGUAUUAGAAAUCAUCUGUGGUUUCAAAAUGAGACAGCCGAAGCCCAGAGAAGUAGGGACCUUGUUCACAGCUGAACUGAAGCUGGGUUAGCUACAGAUUCUGGAUGGAGACAGAUCCCUUGAUGUCCAGCCAGUGGACCUUUUGUUAAACCUCCUGGCAGGGAUGCCCAGUUAGAAAUAUGGAUCGGGGGAGGAUGCUACUUCGGCUAAAAAUAUUUUGUAUUCCAAAGGCAGCAAGAUUAAUUGUUGCUUUAGGUAAUAAACCAAAGGAUCAGAAGGAAUGACCUCUGGGAAGAAUGGACCAGAUCUUGGUAAUGUUGUCUUUGGUGUUGACAAAUGAUUCUGAAACCUCUGGACAUUAUUUGGCAGCCACCACGAGAAUGUCGUCCAAAGCACCUUCAUAGGGGAGAACACCAGGCUUGUAUUGCUAUAAUAAGUCAGAUACGUGAAAAGUAGGAUUCACAAGACUCAGGUUUCCGUUUUUAAGAUUUUUAUUUCUUUUCAAGGAUUAAUUUUAACAGUAGAACUGGUUCCAUAUAACUAAGGAAAAAAGGAAUUGUUCUUAAGUUUAAGAACAAGAACAUAAUUUGAUUUUCUUAGCAGGGGCUCUUUCUUUGUCAUUAUCAGAAAAAGAGCUGAAAAAGAAUUUUGAUAAAUCAUUGUUUUUGCAAGAUGACCUUUUUAUAUUGGCCAUAUUUUCUCUUUUUUUCCAUUUUAUUAUGGAAAAUUUCAAAUAUAUCCAAUAGUGGAAAGAAUGCCAUAUUUAGCCCUAUAUGCAAAUCACCCGGUGUCAAUAGUUAUCCCACCCCUGGUCAAUCUAUCCCUUCUGUGCUUCCUCCUCGUCUUCAUUAUUUCAAAUAGACACUGGACAUCCUAUAAUUUCUUCCACAAUUACUUAAGGCUGAUUCUUUAAGAUACAACUCCCCCCACCUCAUAAUCAUAGUAUCAUUAUCUGAAUAUACAUAUUCUCAACUGGAUAUACAGAAUUUUUGCCCUACCUUUGCUUUUCUGAAAAAGGCAGAAUGAAGGGUUGUCACAGUGGGUAACGGCAAAGCAGAAACCAGAGAAACCAGAGCAUGAUUACUGCUUGUUGCGAGACCUUUCCUUUGGUUUAGUUUAUUUUGAGCGAGGUUGUGUUUGGAUCUGAUGAGAUGAAUUUUAUUGUUGUAUAAACAUGGUUGUGUAAAUAUGCAGUAAUUGUAGCUACCCCAACUGUGGCUUGCACCCUUGGCGAGAUUGGCCAUUUCCAGUUGUUCCCAUAAUGAGUACCCUCCAUCUAAGAACUUAUAUAGGAAGGCUUAUUUUAGUUAGAUGGCUGGGAGAAACCCUGUUCAUAUAUUUAUCUUCAUAGGCCUCCAUGGUAUAAAAGUCUUUGCAUUUUGUGAAUAUAUUGCUUAAAAGAAAAAUGUCUUCCCAUUUCUAACUGGCUAAGUGCUAAUUUCAGCCUAUUUUCUGUAACUGAAGUGAUCAAAAAUGGUUUCUUUGGCGUGGGGAACCCUUACAAGAAGCUGUAAGUAUUCGGACCACAUUUUGGUGGGUUGAGGGUGAGGGGUGAUAGGGAGAGAAAAGGUUACUAUCUUUACUUCAAAAUAUUUGCCCCAUUGAUUUAAAAUACAAAUUUUAAAUUUCAGCUAGAAAUGUUGGAAUACAUCAAUGUUAAUUUUUAAACUUUUUGGUUUUCCAAAAUAGAUUGGUUCCAUUUUCCAAGGUUCGUGGAAUGUGAGAGAUUUUUUAUUUUUAUUUUUUUAAAGAGGCUCUUUCUCAAAUGUUUUAUUUAAUGCAGGCUAUAAAUCUGAAGCAUUUGUUUUUUGGUUUCCAGCCAAACAGGUAAUUACACACGAGAUGCUUUUGAGGGGGUCUUAGAGGCCCUGACCAGGUGAAAACCCGCCUCCUGAGCUGGCUACCACACAAGAAAUGCACAAAGGAAUUCGUACAUUCACGGUUUGGGGAGCACUACCAAAAUGGAAUAAAAAGCCUUUGUUUGGAAACCAUCAAUGAAGGAAGGAACCCACUGGAAUGUUUGUAAUUACAAGUGGCACCUCCUUGUUUAGAUUUCAGAAGCCACAGUUUCUUUUUCAGAGAUUUAAAUUGCAGGCUGGAGCCAGCAGCUGCUGUUGUGGUUAAUGGGCAGUUUUUCUUUGAAGAUCUUCCAGUGCUGGUCCUCAGAAGCUUUGGUGCAGUUGCCCAUGAUCUAGGGUUAGAAAAAAGGGAGAUGGCUGGGCACGGUAGUGCACGCUUAUAAUCCCAGUGGCUCUGGAGACUGAGCAAAAGGAUCACAAGUUCGAGGUCAGCCUCAUCAACUUAGUGAGACCCUAUCUCAAAAUAAAAAAUAAAACGGGCUGGGGAUGUGGCUUAGUUACGCACUCCAAGGUUCAAUCCCCAGUAUCUUAAAAAAAAAAAAAAAGGAAAUGUAGGUGUUUAUAUACAUGCAUGGCCAAAAAUGCUGUGUGGCCUUUAAGGCUGAGAGGAAGCAAUCUCUAAAAAACCUGUUUUGACUGACAGGUGUCUUGAGCGAGAUGAUUAUCUAAGAGAGAGGUGGAGCAGGAAAACUUCUUAUCUUUUAGGACAUGUUUUACUGGAAUAUAGUUAUUUGACCCAACAUUUUGGUCUAUAUAUUUCAGAAAUGUUAAAUAGGCUUGAAAUGAAAGUGCUGUGAUAUAUAUUUAAAUGCUACUAGGUGUUUGAAGUUGAUAUUCCAGUGACAUAUGGACUUUUAAAAAUGCCUACAAUAAGUAUCUUCCUCUCGGCUGACUUCCUUGGGAAGGUAGGCUCUAAUUCCUCCUCAGCUGCCCAGCACUGGAGGAAGUCAAAUUGGAAGUAAGUUAUGCCAUCCUUGGAGGGUGGGGGAAAAUCUGCCUGAGAACAAAAGGUUCACUAGCUCCAUCUCUCCAUUGUCUCUACCAUAUCUUCACUUGGCUGGGAUUAACCUGAAAGUUAACAUGUCAAAAAUGGAAUCUUUAUCUUUCUGCCAUAGGUAUCAGCUUUUCUCAAAGUCUCCAUUAUUGUGAAUGACACCAUCAUCAUCCUAGUUUUCAAGGUCCCUAAAUUUGGAGUCUUUUUUUUUUUCUCCUCUUUUUUUCUCCACUAUAUUCUCCGGCAUCCUCAGUGCCCUUUACGAACCACGUUUUAUGAGCAGAAGCUUCCUAGCUAAAUCCCCCACUCCAGCCUUUCACUGCUAGGCAGAAAGAGCUCAGGUCUACCCACGGCAGUUUCUGUUUCUUUUCAGGACAGGAUCAUAAUAUUUGCCUUUCAGAAACACAAUAAAUUCUUACUUCUUGCCUCAGCUUCAAAAUCUGUACUGUUUUGUCUUUAGGUGGUUCCUUCUUCAAUUGCUCUAGAAUUUCCUCUCUAAUUGCCCUCAUUUCUUAUUACUUUUCAGCCCAAUCCUGAUGGGACUGGAAGACUGAUGAUUCUCCAGUGAAAUUGAGGAAGAAAGUGGUCUACCCAUCAGCCUUCAGCUGGUUGCCGUUGCAAAAAACUACUGUUUUAUCUUUAACUGUCUGUCUUGGUUUAUAGGUGAAUGACAGCUGAUUCUCUUUGCCUACUUUGAGAAUAAAUACCUUCCUGUUGCAUCUUCCAUUUUAACUAACACAUACUUAAUCUAAAAUAUACUUCCAUUUAGAUAUUUCUUUUUCUUCUUGACAGGUACAUACAUGAGUAUAUUUCUUUAUUCUGAGUCAAAACGUGUCAAAAUAAUGACCAUGUUUUUAAUGGAAAUUUUAAAUUUCAGAAUGUUGAAAAUGUAUAGGAGCUAUUUGGUGGAACCUGUUUGAAUGUGGGGAUUUAUUACAGCCUGAAAAUGGUAUAAUUGACUUAACAAAUUACAAGCUGGAAAAGGAAGAUUUUCAGACAAAAAGGGAAGUUGUUCAGACAUAGGAAGACUUUUUAAGGGUUAAAGUCAAAGUCAGAGGACCUCAUAUGGAGCUGCUGACUUGACAUGAGAUUAGCCCCUCUGCAAAUGACCCAGGAGAUGCCACCUAAAGUGGUGUAUUGAUGCUUAUGUCUGGGAUGUUGUAGGUACAGAGAAAACCUACCUGGAGAAAUGGCAGGCCUUUACUAGCUAGUAUUUGGCUUUGGGAUCAGUAUUGCCUAACUAAAUAGUCACGCCAACAUUGGGGCAUGUCUAUGAAUUUGGUUGUAUUUUGGUAGAUAAUAGAGAGUGACUUAUCAUUGACCUAAGAAACAAAAAAAUGAGAUGAAGCUGAGUGUGGUGGCACCUGCCUGUCAUCCCAGCUAUUCACGAGCCUGCUGUAAGAGGAUCAUGAAUUUGAGGCCAGCCUCAGCAGCUUAGUGAGACCCUCUGUCAAGAUAAUAUAAUGUGGGCUGGGGAUGUAGCUCUCACCUAGCAUGUGCAAAGCCUGAACCUAAUACCAAAAAUGGAAAAAAAAAAAUAAAAAGGAAACAAAAAGAUGGAAUCUUCGUCUCUCAGUCUGACUGCUAAACUUGUUAUUUUAAGGAUUGUUUCAAAGCUUUUAUUUGGUGUUACUAUCUGCCAUAAUUCUUCCUUUCUUUUCUUCAUUGUCUGGAGUCUUUCCUCUUCAGAGUUCAGUUCUUGCUAGUAGAAUAAGAUUAUACAGCAUGAUAGUACAAUGAUAUAAGAAUGUUAUGGUUUUAGAGUACUUGGGGACAGUUUUGGGAGUAGGUUCUAUGUCCAAAUGUGGUUAUGUAUUUGGCUUUUUACUGAAUUAAAUACACCUGUGAUUAACCAAGCCACCCAGACUUCACAAGUCAUCAGCUUGCUUCUCUCUU
This 9335-nucleotide long non-coding RNA is filed under the name Marmota monax (woodchuck). The record is from RNAcentral. Lineage: Eukaryota; Metazoa; Chordata; Mammalia; Rodentia; Sciuridae.